CCUACGGGCGACAGCAGUGGGGAAUAUUGCACAAUGGGGGAAACCCUGAUGCAGCGACGCCGCGUGAGUGAAGAAGUAUUUCGGUACGUAAAGCUCUAUCAGCAGGGAAGAAAAUGACGGUACCUGACUAAGAAGCCCCGGCUAACUACGUGCCAGCAGCCGCGGUAAUACGUAGGGGGCAAGCGUUAUCCGGAUUUACUGGGUGUAAAGGGAGCGUAGACGGCAGCGCAAGUCUGGAGUGAAAUCCCAUGGCUUAACCAUGGAACUGCUUUGGAAACUGUGCAGCUAGAGUGCAGGAGAGGUAAGCGGAAUUCCUAGUGUAGCGGUGAAAUGCGUAGAUAUUAGGAGGAACACCAGUGGCGAAGGCAGCUUACUGGACUGUAACUGACGUUGAGGCUCGAAAGCGUGGGGAGCAAACAGGAUUAGAUACCCCAGUAGUC
RNAcentral lists this ribosomal RNA (440 nucleotides) under uncultured bacterium. RNAcentral describes it as "partial 16S ribosomal RNA". It matches the Rfam family "Bacterial small subunit ribosomal RNA", at positions 338 to 795 of the family's 1533-position model. The record is from RNAcentral.